This is a non-coding RNA of Gossypium hirsutum (cotton), 145 nucleotides long. Lineage: Eukaryota; Viridiplantae; Streptophyta; Magnoliopsida; Malvales; Malvaceae. The record is from Rfam.
UGUUAAAAAUUUCAUCCAUUUGUAUUGUUAAAAACUGACGUGACUGAUAAAAUAACUAGGCAGUAACACGUGGAGUGCCACAUAUACCUCAUUUUGACAUAUAGGAAUCAAUUUUUAACCGUAGAAAUAGAUACAAUUUUUAACA